CCGGCGACCGGCGCACGGGUGAGUAACACGUAUGGAACCUGCCCGCAGCAGGGGGAUAAGCGGAAGAAAUUCCGUCUAAUACCGCGUAACAACGUUGGGAGGCAUCUCCCGAUGUUUAAAGAUUUAUCGGCUGCGGAUGGCCAUGCGGCGCAUUAGCUAGUCGGCGGGGUAACGGCCCACCGAGGCGACGAUGCGUAGGGGUUCUGAGAGGAAGGUCCCCCACACUGGUACUGAGACACGGCCCAGACUCCUACGGAAGGCAGCAG
This 266-nucleotide ribosomal RNA is filed under the name uncultured bacterium. Its description in RNAcentral is "partial 16S ribosomal RNA". It matches the Rfam family "Bacterial small subunit ribosomal RNA", at positions 88 to 354 of the family's 1533-position model. The record is from RNAcentral.